AAUUAAUAUUAAGGUGUGGCCACAGCAUGGCGGAGCAAUCAGAAACUUAAGAUUUGAUGUUAAGUUGAAGCAUGGGGCGAAAGUAACUUGUGCCCCUUCCCCAUACUGCCUGCAUAUGUAGCUCACGCCCAUGGCCUCACCGUCUAGGGCUUGGAUUUGGAGGAGGAAGAGAAUACCCCGGUGAACAUCGAGUAUGCUGGCAGUGGCUCGAGUGAUGUGGGACGAUAUUGAGCACCGGUGAGCGCAGGGUGCAGUGCAGCAGUUUAGAAAAACGGCGGGGGCGGACUCCAAACUUGCAAAGAAGGUCACCAAUGGUGGUCGUUGGUCUGCUACUUAAAGGUGCCCUUGCUGGGUUCUUUUCAU
This is a non-coding RNA of Lolium perenne, 363 nucleotides long. Lineage: Eukaryota; Viridiplantae; Streptophyta; Magnoliopsida; Poales; Poaceae. The record is from RefSeq and is a predicted model, not a curated record.